UACAGAGGUCCCAAGCGUUGUUCGGAUUCAUUGGGCGUAAAGGGUGCGUAGGCGGCGCGGUAAGUCGGGUGUGAAAGCCUUGAGCUCAACUCAAGAAAUGCACUCGGUACUGGGUGACUAGAGGACCGGAGAGGAUAGUGGAAUUCCCAGUGUAGUGGUGAAAUACGUAGAGAUUGGGAAGAACACCAGUGGCGAAGGCGGCUAUCUGGACGGUUUCUGACGCUAAGACGCGAAAGCGUGGGGAGCAAACAGG
Molecule: ribosomal RNA, 253 nt
Filed under: uncultured bacterium
Lineage: Bacteria
Description: partial 16S ribosomal RNA
Rfam family: Bacterial small subunit ribosomal RNA
Source: RNAcentral